Molecule: ribosomal RNA, 890 nt
Filed under: uncultured bacterium
Lineage: Bacteria
Description: bacterial SSU rRNA
Rfam family: Bacterial small subunit ribosomal RNA
Source: RNAcentral
AAUCAACGCUGGCGGCGUGCCUAACACAUGCAAGUCGAACGCGAAAGGGGAGCAAUCCCUGAGUAGAGUGGCGAACGGGUGAGUAACACGUGGGUGACCUGCCUUCGAGUGGGGGAUAACGUCCCGAAAGGGACGCUAAUACCGCAUGACAUCCUGCCUUUGAAGAGGCGGUGAUUAAAGCUGGGGAUCGCAAGACCUGGCGCUUGAAGAGGGGCUCGCGUCCGAUUAGCUAGUUGGUGGGGUAAUGGCCUACCAAGGCGACGAUCGGUAGCCGGCCUGAGAGGGCGGACGGCCACACUGGGACUGAGACACGGCCCAGACUCCUACGGGAGGCAGCAGUGGGGAAUUGUUCGCAAUGGGCGCAAGCCUGACGACGCAACGCCGCGUGGAGGAUGAAGAUUUUCGGAUCGUAAACUCCUUUCGAUCGGGACGAAUCGGUCGCGACCUAAUAUGUCGUGGCACUGACGGUACCGAGAGAAGAAGCCCCGGCUAACUCCGUGCCAGCAGCCGCGGUAAUACGGGGGGGGCAAGCGUUGUUCGGAAUUACUGGGCGUAAAGGGCGCGUAGGCGGCCUGCUAAGUCGGAUGUGAAAUCCCUCGGCUUAACCGGGGAACUGCAUCCGAUACUGGCGGGCUUGAAUCCGGGAGAGGGAUGUGGAAUUCCAGGUGUAGCGGUGAAAUGCGUAGAUAUCUGGAGGAACACCGGUGGCGAAGGCGGCAUCCUGGACCGGUAUUGACGCUGAGGCGCGAAAGCCAGGGGAGCAAACGGGAUUAGAUACCCCGGUAGUCCUGGCCCUAAACGAUGAGUGCUUGGUGUGGCGGGUAUCGAUCCCUGCCGUGCCGAAGCUAACGCAUUAAGCACUCCGCCUGGGGAGUACGGUCGCAAGGCUG